This is a long non-coding RNA of Schistocerca serialis cubense, 500 nucleotides long. RefSeq lists it as uncharacterized. The transcript is spliced from 4 exons. The record is from RefSeq and is a predicted model, not a curated record. NCBI's taxonomy places the organism in Eukaryota, Metazoa, Arthropoda, Insecta, Orthoptera, Acrididae.
UGCGUAUGGGCCUCCGCGUCAGGCGCUUGGUUCAUGCAGCCAUGCUAACUGCUGUUUAUCGGGCACGAAGGCAGGAAUUUGCAGUCGGAGUCCCAUGUUGCUCCAGUUGGAUAGGGAGUGAGGGAAUUCCAAGCACCCAGUCUCUAUGGUCACCGAGUGAUAUCGCCUCCUCGAAUGCCACAAAUAGGGUAUCCAAAGAAGACUACAAAGCAAAUUUCAUCUAGAGCUGUGACAUUUUCAUACAAUGUGAUAGUAAAUGGACUGGAAGCCAUGAUAUGCAAGCAAGCUUUCCUCAGAGUUCAUGGUUUACUGAACCACACAAUUUGAGUGAGGAAUUUGCAACAGCAAAUGAAGUUGGGUCACGCAGUACCAAAAGAAGAUGGAAGAGGCAAACAUGGAAAUCAUCCACAUAAAUUUCAAAACGAAGUCGUGUAAGAUGUCAGAGACUUCCUCAGUGCUAUACCAAAAUAUAACAGUCACUAUAGCAGGCAGCAGAACCC